Lathyrus oleraceus (garden pea) is the source of this 1322-nucleotide long non-coding RNA. RefSeq lists it as uncharacterized. Lineage: Eukaryota; Viridiplantae; Streptophyta; Magnoliopsida; Fabales; Fabaceae. The transcript is spliced from 2 exons. The record is from RefSeq and is a predicted model, not a curated record.
AUUUAUGCCAAACAUUCUAAACCCUCAAACAUGGUGGAAAACAUCAAUUUCUCAAAACAGAAAAUUGUACACAUAUAGGCACGCUAAAUUCAGCAUAUAAUCAUCAUAUAACAACCAUCAUAGCAUCAAAAUUCAAUAUUAUGAAUCAAAACACUCAACCCUAAUUAGGUUAAGGGUCCCUCCAUCUACGCCUCAUGCUUUAAUACCCAUUAGAGAAGCACAUCUCUCCCCUUACCUGAAUUCCUUGCAAUUUUUUUGAAUUGAAACCUUCAGUUUUUCCCUUGAUUACGUUGCCUCUUUCCUCUUUGUUCCUUUUUCUCAAAUGUCACGUACUGUGAAAAUCUCCAUAAACCUAGAUUCCUCUUAACUUUUUAUUUUUAAGGUAAACUUUUUCAAAUUACCAACUUGGCCCAAACUUAGUUAUCUCUUAUUCUUUCCUCCCACUAAAUUUCUCAAUUUCUCAUAUUUGGCCCAAUUAUUCUAUCUUAACUAAUUAAUAUAAUAAAAAUAAAUAAAACAUUAUUUUUAAUUAUCAAAACAAUUCUAAAUUAUUUUACUUACUUCUAUCAUUUAUCUAUACCCCUAACUCAAGAACACAUACCCCGUUAACACCCAGAUAAAAUAAAUCAUCAAAAUGCAUAAUUCAAACAAUUAAAAUAUACUAAAAAUAUCUAAUAAAAAAUGGGUGUUACAAGUCCUCCCCGUAGAGAUUUCCUGUCGUCGCCUCCGUCACGCCGGAAAUUGCUUUCGACAGCGGAGGAGGCUCAAACACAGCAUACCAUAUCUCAAAUUAACUGUCUAUUCUUCCUCUUUCUAAGCCCCAAGCUCAUCCCUUUCAAGUUUCCCCUCAAUCGUGUAAAUCGAAGGGAUCAAAAGAUGAACCCUAAGUUAGAUUUUAGAAAAUACAAGCAAGAGAGAGGAGAUUGGAGCCGAAGCAAUUAAGGCUUCAAUUCCAAAGGCUAUGGACUACGUCGUGCCAACAAGGAAAUGCAAAGAAGAAACUGAGAUCUAUGAACCUGGACGCGAAUUCUCCGAUGAAGAUAAUAACAAGAAAAUACCAGAGGCAAAACACUAGGUUGGAGCAUUGUCCGAGUUGAAUGUGGAUGCAACAUUAGAUCAUAAGGAUGACCAAGGCUUUUUUUUACUUUUGAAAUCAACCCAAAGUAUCAAGUCAAUGUGAUUAGUAUAUGGUAUAAUGUAUUAAUGCCAUGUAUAAUGCAAUGCUUGUAAAUAAACCCACAUUUGGGUCAUUCUUAUGUAGUAGGACAAACCAAAGUGUAAUUGAUUUUAAAAUGGUGGAUCCAAGUUUAAUUCAAUUCUAA